AAGUCGAGGGGAAACGACAUCGAAAGCUUGCUUUUGAUGGGCGUCGACCGGCGCACGGGUGAGUAACGCGUAUCCAACCUGCCCACCACUUGGGGAUAACCUUGCGAAAGUAAGACUAAUACCCAAUGAUAUCUCUAGAAGACAUCUGAAGGAGAUUAAAGAUUUAUCGGUGAUGGAUGGGGAUGCGUUCCAUUAGGUUGUUGGCGGGGUAACGGCCCACCAAGGCGACGAUCAGUAGGGGUUCUGAGAGGAAGGUCCCCACAUUGGAACUGAGACACGGUCCAAACUCC
This 290-nucleotide ribosomal RNA is filed under the name uncultured Prevotella sp. RNAcentral describes it as "partial 16S ribosomal RNA". It matches the Rfam family "Bacterial small subunit ribosomal RNA", at positions 59 to 339 of the family's 1533-position model. The record is from RNAcentral. Lineage: Bacteria; Pseudomonadati; Bacteroidota; Bacteroidia; Bacteroidales; Prevotellaceae.